Molecule: ribosomal RNA, 253 nt
Filed under: uncultured bacterium
Lineage: Bacteria
Description: partial 16S ribosomal RNA
Rfam family: Bacterial small subunit ribosomal RNA
Source: RNAcentral
UACGAGGGGGGCAAGCGUUGUUCGGAUUUAUUGGGCGUAAAGGGUGCGUAGGCGGUUUGGCAAGUCUUGUGUGAAAUCUUUGGGCUCAACCCAAAGCCUGCACAAGAAACUGCCGGGCUUGAGUAUGGGAGAGGUGAGUGGAAUUUCCGGUGUAGCGGUGAAAUGCGUAGAUAUCGUCUGGAACGCCGAAGGUGAAAACAGCUCGCUGGGGUUGUGCUGACGCUGAGACACGAAAGCCAGGGGAGCGAACGGG